GAUGAACGCUGGCGGCGUGCUUAACACAUGCAAGUCGAACGAUUAAGACGGCUUCGGCCGUGUAUAGAGUGGCGAACGGGUGAGUAACACGUGACCAACCUGCCCCGCGCUCCGGGACAACCGCUGGAAACGGCGGCUAAUACCGGAUGCUCCGGGGAGGCCCCAUGGCCUCCCCGGGAAAGCCCCGACGGCGCGGGAUGGGGUCGCGGCCCAUUAGGUAGACGGCGGGGUAACGGCCCACCGUGCCCGCGAUGGGUAGCCGGACUGAGAGGUCGACCGGCCACAUUGGGACUGAGAUACGGCCCAGACUCCUACGGGAGGCAGCAGUGGGGAAUUUUGCGCAAUGGGGGGAACCCUGACGCAGCAACGCCGCGUGCGGGACGAAGGCCUUCGGGUUGUAAACCGCUUUCAGCAGGGAAGAUUCAGACGGUAC
Molecule: ribosomal RNA, 433 nt
Filed under: uncultured bacterium
Lineage: Bacteria
Description: bacterial SSU rRNA
Rfam family: Bacterial small subunit ribosomal RNA
Source: RNAcentral